RNAcentral lists this ribosomal RNA (1043 nucleotides) under Bacillus subtilis. Its description in RNAcentral is "partial 16S ribosomal RNA". The record is from RNAcentral. Lineage: Bacteria; Bacillati; Bacillota; Bacilli; Caryophanales; Bacillaceae.
ARAACARGUACCGUWCGAAUAGKGCSGUACCUUGACSGUACCUWACCAGAWAGCCACGGCUAACUACGUGCCAGCAGCCGCGGUAAUACGUAGGUGGCAAGCGUUGUMCKGAAUUAUUGGGCGUAAWGGGCUCGCARGCGGUUCSUUAAAGUCUGAUGUGAAAGCCCCSGGCUCAACCGGGGARGGUCAUUSGAAACUGGCGRAACUUGAGUGCAGAAGAGGAGUAGUGGAAAUUYCACGUGUAGCGGUGAAAUGCGUAGAGAUGUGUGAGGAACACCAGUGGCGAAGGCGACUCUCUGGUCUGUAACUGACGCUGAGGAGCGAAAGCGUGGGGAGCGAACAGGAUUAGAUACCCUGGUAGUMCACGCCGUAAACGAUGAGUGCUAAGUGAUUAGGGGGGUUUCCGCCCCUUAGUGCUGCAGCURACGCAUUAAGCACUCCGGCCUGGGGAGUACRGUCGCAAGACUGAUAACUCAAAGGAAUUGACGGGGGCCCGCACAAGGCGGUGGAGCAUGAUGGUUUAAUUCGAAUGCAACGCGAAGAAUCMUUACCAAGKUCUUGACWUCCUCUGACAWUCSUAGAAGAUAGGACGUCCUCCAUUCSGGGGCAKASUGACAUGKUCGRUGCAUUGSUUKUUCGUCAGCAUUCGUUGUUCGUGAGAAUUCGUUGGRAUUUAMGUUCCCGCAAUCGAGCGCARCCMUUGAAUUCUUUASUUGGCYAGCAUUCAGUUGGGCACUCUYAAGKUGACCUGMCGGUGACAAACCGGAGKAMGGUSGGGAUKACGUYMAAUCUAUCAUKCCCCKUAUGACCUUGGCUACACACCUGCUACAAUGGACAGAACAAAGGGCAGCGAAACCGCGAGGUUAAGCCAAUCCCCCAAAUCUGUUUUCAGUUCGGAUCGCAGUUUGCAACUUGACUGCGUGAAGCUGGAAUCGCUAGUAAUCGCGGAUCAGCAUGCCGCGGUGAAUACGUUCCCGGGCCUUGUACACACCGCCCGUCACACCACGAGAGUUUGUAACACCCGAAGUCGGUGAGGUAACCUU